UAGGGAAUAUUGCGCAAUGGAGGAAACUCUGACGCAGCGACGCCGCGUGAGCGAUGAAGGCCUUCGGGUUGUAAAGCUCUGUCGCAGGGGAAUAAGAAAGUGAAUGUACUCUGCAAGAAAGGAUCGGCUAACUUCGUGCCAGCAGCCGCGGUAAGACGAGGGAUCCUAGCGUUGUUCGGAAUCAUUGGGCGUAAAGCGGGUGUAGGUGGCUUGGUAAGUCAGGUGUGAAAGCCCAGGGCUUAACCCUGGAAGUGCAUUUGAUACUGCUGAGCUUGAGUGUAGGAGAGGUUACUAGAAUUCUUGGUGUAGUGGUGAAAUACGUAGAUAUCAAGAGGAAUACCGGAGGCGAAGGCGGGUAACUGGCCUAACACUGACACUCAGACCCGAAAGCGUGGGGAUC
Molecule: ribosomal RNA, 400 nt
Filed under: uncultured bacterium
Lineage: Bacteria
Description: bacterial SSU rRNA
Rfam family: Bacterial small subunit ribosomal RNA
Source: RNAcentral